RNAcentral lists this ribosomal RNA (253 nucleotides) under uncultured bacterium. Its description in RNAcentral is "partial 16S ribosomal RNA". It matches the Rfam family "Bacterial small subunit ribosomal RNA", at positions 524 to 776 of the family's 1533-position model. The record is from RNAcentral.
UACGGGGGGGGCAAGCGUUGUUCGGAAUUACUGGGCGUAAAGGGUUUGUAGGUGGCCCGCUAAGUCAGACGUGAAAUCCCUCAGCUUAACUGGGGAACUGCGUCUGAGACUGGUGAGCUUGAGUGCAGGAGAGGAACGCGGAAUUCCAGGUGUAGCGGUGAAAUGCGUAGAUAUCUGGAGGAACACCGGUGGCGAAGGCGGCGUUCUGGACUGCUACUGACACUGAGGAACGAAAGCCAGGGGAGCAAACGGG